RNAcentral lists this unclassified non-coding RNA (365 nucleotides) under Acacia elata. Its description in RNAcentral is "partial external transcribed spacer". The record is from RNAcentral. Lineage: Eukaryota; Viridiplantae; Streptophyta; Magnoliopsida; Fabales; Fabaceae.
GUGCCCGUCCACCGAACGGUCGGCAGGCGAUCCGCGUCGGUCGCGCGAGGUGGUAUGGUUCCCCAGAGGCCGGUUCUUGUGCUGGCUACCCCUUCAGGGGAAGAGUUCCAAACUUGAUGUAAGCCUCCAUCCGGUGCCCUACAAAGGGCGCGGGAGGACAGCGGAGCACCCCCCGCGUUCCACCGAGCCUCCUCGGUCGCGUGGCCCGCGGGGAUGUGNGAUGCUCUCGGACCCAGCGAACGCCGUGGGCGAGGACUCACGUCCCGGUCCCAAGAGAAGCUCCGAUAUAAUGCAAGACGGCCGCUCCCGCCCCCCGACCGCCCCGGCGGCUUGGGGGCGAAGGCGCGGCGUCGCGGAGGAAUGCU